This 216-nucleotide long non-coding RNA is filed under the name Hordeum vulgare. Its description in RNAcentral is "long non-coding RNA (HVUL_LNC015786)". Lineage: Eukaryota; Viridiplantae; Streptophyta; Magnoliopsida; Poales; Poaceae. The record is from RNAcentral.
CAUGUUGCAUCCUUGUCAUAUGCUUUUGUGUUGCUCGUAUCUUUUAGGUCGUAACUUCGUUGGAGAUGCGCUAUAUAUGUAAAUUUACUAGAAUGACGUGUAGUUUCACGUGCUCCGCUUUUUUUUGCCUUUUAACAAACUUAAAAUGUGUUUAGGACAGAUUUGGACAGAUUUCCAAGUUAAUGUGUGGGGUCGUUUCGGAAAUGCUAUAUGCCG